AUCCCUGUAACGUAAUAGAUAGCGCGUUGGACUUCUAAUCCAAAGGUAGUGGGUUCGAAUCCUACCUGGGACA
Molecule: non-coding RNA, 73 nt
Organism: Trichonephila inaurata madagascariensis
Lineage: Eukaryota; Metazoa; Arthropoda; Arachnida; Araneae; Nephilidae
Source: the annotation of a GenBank genome assembly